CCAGGAUGCUCUCUGUUCUUCCAAUUCCUGUCCAUGAAGCCAGUGGGCUUCUCCAGAUCGCCUGGUAACCUGUCCCACCUCCAACAGAACGCAGCGUUGCUGCGUGGAAGGUGAGCCAUUAGCAUCGCCGUGAAGGCUGACAGCCAGCGCAGCAGCGAGGACGCAUCGGAAGUGGCAGCAGCAAUAUGCACCCCGACGAGAGGGGCCCAGCUUUGGAUCCUUCUCUUCUUCCAGAGCCUCAAGCCAAGAAUUAUGCCCACCGUCUCACAGUCGCCUGGAAUUGCCUUCUGAAGGGAACGUGGGGGAGCAGACGCA
Molecule: long non-coding RNA, 315 nt
Organism: Myotis myotis
Lineage: Eukaryota; Metazoa; Chordata; Mammalia; Chiroptera; Vespertilionidae
Exons: 3
Source: RefSeq, a predicted model, not a curated record